RNAcentral lists this ribosomal RNA (529 nucleotides) under uncultured bacterium. RNAcentral's name for it is "bacterial SSU rRNA". It matches the Rfam family "Bacterial small subunit ribosomal RNA", at positions 777 to 1304 of the family's 1533-position model. The record is from RNAcentral.
AAUAGAUACCCUGGUAGUCCACGCCGUAAACGAUGAGUGCUAAGUGUUAGAGGGUUUCCGCCCUUUAGUGCUGCAGCUAACGCACUAAGCACUCCGCCUGGGGAGUACGGUCGCAAGACUGAAACUCAAAGGAAUUGACGGGGGCCCGCACAAGCGGUGGAGCAUGUGGUUUAAUUCGAAGCAACGCGAAGAACCUUACCAGGUCUUGACAUCCUCUGACAACUCUAGAGAUAGAGCGUUCCCCUUCGGGGGACAGAGUGACAGGUGGUGCAUGGUUGUCGUCAGCUCGUGUCGUGAGAUGUUGGGUUAAGUCCCGCAACGAGCGCAACCCUUGAUCUUAGUUGCCAGCAUUUAGUUGGGCACUCUAAGGUGACUGCCGGUGACAAACCGGAGGAAGGUGGGGAUGACGUCAAAUCAUCAUGCCCCUUAUGACCUGGGCUACACACGUGCUACAAUGGAUGGUACAAAGGGCUGCAAGACCGCGAGGUCAAGCCAAUCCCAUAAAACCAUUCUCAGUUCGGAUUGUAGG